This is an RNA transcript of Melopsittacus undulatus (budgerigar), 2409 nucleotides long. It is a transcript of the gene named DEAF1 transcription factor, with no coding region annotated. The record is from RefSeq and is a predicted model, not a curated record. The transcript is spliced from 12 exons. Lineage: Eukaryota; Metazoa; Chordata; Aves; Psittaciformes; Psittaculidae.
AUGGAGGAGGCCGAUUCGGCGGCGAAGCAGUUGGGGUUAGCGGAGGCGGCGGCGGUGGCGGCGGCAGCCGCAGUACGGGCGGCUGCGGACGGCCCCGAGCAGCAGCAGCAGCCUCCGCAAGCGGCGGCCGCGCAGUCGGAGGCGGCCGCGCAGGUGACGGCGGUGACGGUGAUGGCGGCGGAUACCGAACACAUCGACAUGGGGGCCGAGCCGCUGCCCAGCGCCGACGAGGCCGCCGCCACCUUCGCAGAAGUCACCACAGUGACCGUGGCCAGCGUUGGUGCCUCUGCAGACAACGUGUUCACCACGUCCGUGGCCAAUGCAGCUUCCAUUUCGGGACACGUGUUGUCUGGGAGAACAGCCCUGCAGAUUGGGGACAGCUUGAACCCUGAAAAAGCCACUCUCAUCGUGGUGCACACGGAUGGCAGCAUUGUAGACACCACGGGGCUGAAGGGGCCCUCGGCACCUCUCACACCAGGACCUCAAUCUUCUCCUACCCCUCUAACAUCUGUCCAAGAGAAAACUGGAACCAAGUACAACUGGGACCCGUCUGUGUACGAGAAUGAGCUCCCGGUGAGGUGCCGGAACAUCAGUGGCAUCCUCUAUAAGAACAGACUUGGCUCAGGAGGCCGUGGUAGGUGCAUUAAACAAGGAGACAACUGGUACAGCCCUACCGAGUUUGAAGCUAUGGCAGGACGAGCCAGCAGCAAAGACUGGAAGAGGAGCAUCCGCUAUGCUGGGAGGCCACUGCAGUGCCUUAUCCACGAUGGGAUUUUAAAUCCUCAUGCUGCCUCUUGUACUUGUGCUGCUUGCUGCGACGACAUGACUCUGAGUGGUCCUGUUCGACUCUUUGUGCCAUAUAAAAGGAGGAAAAAAGAGAAUGAAAUGCCUACAGCUCCAGCAAAGAAGGAUUGCUCCAAAAACAUCACCCUGCUCCCUGCCACAGCUGCUACUACAUUCACGGUGACUCCCUCUGGACAGAUCACGACCUCAGGAGCUCUGACCUUCGAUCGCACAUCAACAGUGGAGGCCACAGCCAUUAUCUCGGAGAGCACAUCCCAGGGGGAUGUUUUCACUGGAGCCACUGUUCAGGAUGCCAACGGCCAGCAGCCAUGCAGGGUCAGUCACCCAGAGCCUCACUACCCCAGUUACCAGGACAACUGCCAGAUCUCACCUUUUCCUGAAGCUGCGUUGCCAACGUCUCAUCCCAAGAUUGUGCUAACCUCGCUCCCUGCCCUGGCAGUGCCCCCCAGCACUCCCACCAAAGCCAUAUCCCCCUCGGUGGUGAACGGCCUGGAGGUGACGGAGCAGCGGAGCUGGCUCUACCUGGAGGAGAUGGUCAAUUCCCUGCUGCACACAGCCCAGCAGCUGAAGACGCUGAUCGAGCAGGCCAAGCAGGCCAGCUCCUCCUUCCGGGAAGCUGCAGUCACACAGGCCAAAAUCCAAGCUGAUGUGGACAGGAAGGAGCAGUACCAGAACCAGUUAUUUCAACAACCAGAAGAUGUGGAUGGGAAGACAGAAAUCAUCAUCAAGGUGAGCUGGGGGUGUCCUGUGUCUUUGCUCUUUGGCUUGGCCCUUUCUGCUGGCCUGAAUCCCGGUGUACACCGGGAGCACCAGCACAGCUCCAUGGCACCAUUAACUGUAGGUACAUCAGGGAGGUGCUGUCAGGGCUUGGUUGUGCUCAGAGAGAAGGAGCUGCUGGAACUAAAGACACCAAAGGCUUUAGCAGCCUGUCAGCGGCUCCCAGCACAGCUCCAACGUGCUAAUGAUGUGUCAGGAUUUAAUGAGCUGGAAGCAGAGUCCUCUCUGAAGUGCUGUUUCCUGGGGUAGUUCAAUGGUGUUUCCAGCCAACAGUCAGGUUAUGUUAAUUGCUGUCACUGAGACAGAUGAAAGCAAUAGACACAAACAGCCUUUAGAAACCAGGUGGGAGUUUUAGUCCAUGUAUCUUGUCUGGCCUCACUUCAAGUCCCUGCUCCUGUUACAGCUUUCUUAGUUUUACUCCAUCUCCUGUUUCCCUGUUGGGACACAGUUUAUGGGGCCUGGUGCAGGGACACAGAUCCCUUCCUCCUCCCUAGAAAGGAUUAAACUGAAGGGCCCCAUCCUUCCUCCUGCUCCCGUUGUCCUACCUCAGACCCUCUCGCAGGCAUACGCAGGUUUAUAAACCAACCCUGUCAAAGCUCACGUUUGAGCUGAGCUCAGAGCUUUGGGGACCCCUCUGGUGUUGUCCUCUCUGACAUGGUCACUUUGCUGCCUGUUCACAGCAAUCCUGUGUCAACUGCGGCCGGGAGGCGACCAACGAGUGCACAGGAUGCCACAAAGUCAACUACUGCUCCACGUACUGCCAGAGGAAGGACUGGAAGGACCAUCAGCACAUCUGUGGGCAGGCAGCUGCAGUGCAGGCUGAGGAUG